GAUGAACGCUGGCGGCGUGCUUAACACAUGCAAGUCGAACGAAGCACUCUAUUUGAUUUUCUUCGGAAAUGAAGAUUUUGUGACUGAGUGGCGGACGGGUGAGUAACGCGUGGGUAACCUGCCUCAUACAGGGGGAUAACAGUUGGAAACGACUGCUAAUACCGCAUAAGCGCACAGGAUUGCAUGAUCCGGUGUGAAAAACCCCGGUGGUAUGAGAUGGACCCGCGUCUGAUUAGCCAGUUGGCAGGGUAACGGCCUACCAAAGCGACGAUCAGUAGCCGACCUGAGAGGGUGACCGGCCACAUUGGGACUGAGACACGGCCCAAACUCCUACGGGAGGCAGCAGUGGGGAAUAUUGCACAAUGGGGGAAACCCUGAUGCAGCGACGCCGCGUGAGCGAAGAAGUAUUUCGGUAUGUAAAGCUCUAUCAGCAGGGAAGAAGAAUGACGGU
Molecule: ribosomal RNA, 451 nt
Filed under: uncultured bacterium
Lineage: Bacteria
Description: bacterial SSU rRNA
Rfam family: Bacterial small subunit ribosomal RNA
Source: RNAcentral